UGGUGGGGUGACUUGUCUGCUUAAUUGCGAUAACGAACGAGACCUUAACCUGCUAAAUAGCCCGCAUUGCUCCGGCAGUGCGCUGGCUACUUAGAGGGACUUUCGGCUCAAGCCGAAGGAAGUUUGAGGCAAUAACA
This 137-nucleotide ribosomal RNA is filed under the name uncultured eukaryote. RNAcentral's name for it is "partial 18S ribosomal RNA". It matches the Rfam family "Eukaryotic small subunit ribosomal RNA", at positions 1299 to 1458 of the family's 1831-position model. The record is from RNAcentral.